UUUAAUUUAUUAUAAUAAAUAAGUCCUGCUCAAUGAUAUUAUUAAAUAGCCGCAAAUUUUUUGUGCUAAGGUAGCAUAAUCAUUUGUUUUUUAAUUUAAAAACUAGAAUGAAAGGAUUUACAAUUAAUUUCUAUAAAUAUUUUUCUUAAUAAAUUUAUAUUAAAUAUAAAAAUAUAUUUAUAUAAAAAAAAGACGAUAAGACCCUAUUGAAUUUUACUUAUGUUUUACUGGGGCAGUAAAUUAAAUAAAAUUUUAAUUUAAAUAAAAUAUCCAAUAAUAUUGAUUUUAACAAAUUACCAUAGGGAUAACAGCGUUAUAUUCUUUUUAAGUUCAUAUUUAAAAGAAAUUUUGCGACCUCGAUGUUGAAUUAUUUUACUUUAAAAAGCAAAAAUUCUAAAAGUAAGUCUGUUCGACUUUUAAAAAAUUACA
Molecule: ribosomal RNA, 429 nt
Filed under: Stemmops cf. servus MS99
Lineage: Eukaryota; Metazoa; Arthropoda; Arachnida; Araneae; Theridiidae
Description: partial 16S ribosomal RNA
Source: RNAcentral